ACUCCCGUUGCAUGCUGGGACUGUAGUUGAUCGCCUGCGAUCAACGGCCGGAAGCGGCUAAAACUACUCCUGCCUGCAUACCCCGCAGGAGCAAAGCGCGCCAUGUCUCCCUCCAGGGAUCCGCACCGCUCACAAUCCUGUUGAGUGCUGGGAUUGUAGUCCUGCGAGCCUACGACUAAUAGCUGGGUGCGGAUAAGAGACCACAGCUCCCCCCAUUCCCAGCAAAGGUCCCUCCUCCACCGAGCUCCUCCAGGCUUCCAGUGCAGUUCCGCCGUGCGGUGGGAAGCUUGGCUGUUCACAAACCUCUCCUGCCCGCGAGGAGACAGCUUGGCCAGGGCGGCUGAUCUCACCUUGUCAUUGUGACACGGUGUCUCCCCAACGUGCUGGCUUCAUGACUUGUGCCCAGAGUUUGAUUUUCCACAGACCAGGUAGAGGCCAAGAGCCUCUCACAGACUCUGCAGCAGGGUUUCUAUGAUUAACUCUUAAGUACUCCACAACUACACGCUUUUGAAACUGGCGUUGGCAUAGCGUUAGUUCUGUGCAGGGCGGACGCAGCAGGACAGAAUCUCCCUGGGCAUCUUUUCGGAGCAUCAAUUUUACUGCAAAAUUUUGAAAAAACAAAUUUAAUUGAUUUCCAAGGAAUGCAGAAAUAAGGAGGGACAGCUCUACCUAUGUUUGGAGUCCAUGAAUGUGUCAUCUUGCUGUGUUUGUAAAUAGAAAUUUAUUUCACAAAAUGACUCAACUGCUUCUUCACUAACAUGUUCAAAAACUUGCAAGAAGCAGCCAGGCAUGGUGGCUCACACCUGUAAUCCCAGCACUUUGGGAGACCCAGGCAGGAAGAUCACCUGAGGUUGGGAGUUCGAGACUAGCCUGACCAACAUGGAGAAGAAUCGUGUCUACUAAAAAUACAAAAUUAGCCAGGCACGGUGGCGCAUGCCUGUAGUCUCAGCUACCUGGGAGGCUGAGGCAGGAGAAUUGCUUGAACCCAAGAGGUGGAGGUUGUGGUGAGCCGAGAUCGCACCAUUGCACUCCAGCCUGGGCAACAAGAGCAAAAUUCCGUCUCAAAAAAAAAAAAAGAGAGAGAGAGAGAGAGAAAAGAAAAGAAAAACACUUGCAAGAAGCAAAACAAGAAUUGAGAAAGGGGAAAGAUGAUAUCUGAGAGUUGGAAGGUUGCACAUUUUCACAGAAAAGUAGAACGGAAUUGUAACAAGCACUCUGAUAGGAAAUCAUAGUUUAUGUCUCACAACUGUCCCUAAAAAAAUACAGUGGUUGGCAGAAAAGACAAGAAAUGAGAUAGACUAUAAAUUAACUGGAGAAGAGAAAAAAUAAUUCCCAGAAGUAAAUUGUCAACGAGUUUGAAAGCAGGUAAAAGGUUUGUCAAGGAGGACAGAAACUCAGAGCACCCUGCACUUGGGGAUCGGCACUAGGAGCUGCUCUCUGGAUGGGGAGAUGGGAGCUAGCAGCUCACAAUGGGGUCACAAGACAGGAGUGUUAUUGGGAUAAUCCUGUUUUGUUGACAAAUACUGAGAUCAUCCAACUCACCAGGCAAAGUUGACUUGUGUAAGUGAUCUUCAGAUACGAAAAGUGUGGAACCCAGCUGCUCCUCCUCAGAUAGGCGACAUGACAAUUGUAGGCCUGGAGGGAGAUGAGUUGACAACAUCCCUUCCCUAUAACCACUUGUUGGAUCUGAUCUCACAUACACAGACUCACUCCAAAGACUGACCUGGGUGUCUGCUUCUCAGCUUCAUUAACAGUGGGUGCUCACAAGUCUAGCCCCUGGCUUCCAUGCAUAGUGGAGAGAAUGUCUGAGAAGAGGAGGACCUUGACUGCUCCUGAACCGGAGACCUCAGAACCAUGGUGCUCUCCUGUCCAGGCUGAACACUAAUGCUCUUGAGAGUCAUAUUGAAGAAAGCCAACAUUUUUAAAUCUAAUGGAUACAUUCAUUUUGUGGUAUGUGAUGUUUAGAAAGAGGGAGCUAAAGUUAGUGGUCAUGAGCUAAAUACCCUGUGAGCAUCUUCACUCUCCUUCUGUAUCACAGACUAAAACCCACUGACUUGAUCAUCUGUCCCUUGCCCCUCGUCCACAUAGUGAACUUCUUCAUUGCACUGUUAUUGCAGUCUCCAAACCUGUUUGCAUCAUUGAACUUCAGAAUGACUUCAAGUUAGUAACAGGAUCUUCUACACUGUAGCUGCUUCCAGUGUGAGCCAGACAAAUGUACUGAAUAUAGGCCUCAGAGGUGAUCCCACCACCUUCACAGCAAUGGUCCUUCCCCAGGAGCUUCCCCUGAGAAAUGGGCCAUCCAGACCAUACUGCUGCUGUUACAUCGUUAAGAAGCUCAUUGUUGGCAGGGCGUGAUGGCUCACACCUGUAAUCCCAGCACUUUGGGAGGCAGAGGCUGGUGGAUCACCUGAGGUCAGGAGUUCAAGAUUAGCCUGACCAACACAGUGAAGCCCCGUUUCUACUAAAAAUACAAAAGUUAGCCGGACGUGGUGGCAGGCACCUGUAAUCCCAGCUACUUGGGAGGCUGAGGCAGGAGAAUUGCUUGAACCCGGGAGGCAGAGGUUGCAGUGAGGCAAGAUUGUGCCAGUGUACUCCAGCCUGGGUCACAAAAGCGAAACUCCAUCUC
Molecule: long non-coding RNA, 2626 nt
Organism: Pan troglodytes (chimpanzee)
Lineage: Eukaryota; Metazoa; Chordata; Mammalia; Primates; Hominidae
Exons: 12
Source: RefSeq, a predicted model, not a curated record